Long non-coding RNA from Dermochelys coriacea (leatherback sea turtle), 217 nucleotides. RefSeq lists it as uncharacterized. NCBI's taxonomy places the organism in Eukaryota, Metazoa, Chordata, Testudines, Dermochelyidae. The record is from RefSeq and is a predicted model, not a curated record. The transcript has 4 exons.
AGAUUGCCCAUAUUUCCCUUUUUAUAGUUUGGCAAUAUCUUUUCCCUUUUCCAGUCUUCUGGAAUCUGUCCCAUCUUCCAUGACUUUUCAAAGAUAAUUGCUAAUGGCUCAGAUAUCUCCUCAUUCAGCUCCUUGAGUACUCUAGGGUGCAUUUCAUCAGUCCUUGGUGACUUGAAGACAUCUAACUUGUCUCAAGUACUUUUUAACUUGUGCUUUC